AACCUUGACAUUUAUGUUUAAUAUUAUUACAUACGAUUAUGUGCGGUUUAGCACUAUGGCAAUAAAAUUUAUCUAAAUAGGUGUAUUGGACCCGAGGGCAGUACUCGGCGCCUCCACCUUGUUCUCGUUUAAAAUGGGGGGCGAAUAAGGAUCGACAUACACAGUAAAAUAGUAAAUAUUUGCUCGGUUACACUGCCGUUAAGAGUGACUUAAGUGCAAAUGAUAAUUUUGCUGCUGACAAUAAUGUAGCAUUAGCUGCUUAAGUUUAGCACUAUGGCUUCAUAAUUAUAAGCACGGCCAGGGGACCGCCGGGUAACAGAAGGGUUCCCAGA
RNAcentral lists this transfer-messenger RNA (332 nucleotides) under Wolbachia endosymbiont of Menacanthus eurysternus. It matches the Rfam family "Alphaproteobacteria transfer-messenger RNA". From Rfam's summary of the family: Bacterial tmRNA, also known as 10Sa RNA or SsrA, is named for its dual tRNA and mRNA-like properties. Its role is to liberate the mRNA from a stalled ribosome. The record is from RNAcentral. Lineage: Bacteria; Pseudomonadati; Pseudomonadota; Alphaproteobacteria; Rickettsiales; Anaplasmataceae.